RNAcentral lists this ribosomal RNA (396 nucleotides) under uncultured bacterium. Its description in RNAcentral is "bacterial SSU rRNA". It matches the Rfam family "Bacterial small subunit ribosomal RNA", at positions 29 to 416 of the family's 1533-position model. The record is from RNAcentral.
AGUGAACGCUGGCGGCGUGCUUAACACAUGCAAGUCGAGCGAAUUUUGGCAGCACAUCGCCAAAGUUAGCGGCAGACGGGUGAGUAAUACUUGGGCAAUCUGCCCUUGAGUGGGGGACAACCUGCCGAAAGGCGGGCUAAUACCCCAUAAGACCACGGGAAUGCAUAUUCCAGAGGUCAAAGCUCCGUAAGGGGCGCUUGAGGAGGAGCCCGAGUCCUAUCANGGUAGUUGGCGGGGUAAUGGCCCACCAAGCCGUUGACGGGUAGCCGGCCUGAAAGGGCAACCGGCCACACUGGCACUGAGACACGGGCCAGACUCCUACGGGAGCAGCAGUGGGGAAUUUUGGACAAGUGGGGGCAACCCUGAUCCAGCGACGCCGCGUGAAGGAUGAAGGUC